AGCGAACGCUGGCGGCAGGCUUAACACAUGCAAGUCGAACGGGCGUAGCGAAUACGUCAGUGGCAGACGGGUGAGUAACGCGUGGGAACGUACCUUUUGGUUCGGAACAACCCAGGGAAACUUGGGCUAAUACCGGGAUAAGCCCCUUACGGGGAAAGAUUUAUCGCCGAAAGAUCGGCCCGCGUCUGAUUAGCUAGUUGGUGUGGUAACGGCGCACCAAGGCGACGAUCAGUAGCUGGUCUGAGAGGAUGAUCAGCCACAUUGGGACUGAGACACGGCCCAAACUCCUACGGGAGGCAGCAGUGGGAAUAUUGGACAAUGGGCGCAAGCCUGAUCCAGCCAUGCCGCGUGAGUGAUGAAGG
Molecule: ribosomal RNA, 362 nt
Filed under: uncultured bacterium
Lineage: Bacteria
Description: bacterial SSU rRNA
Rfam family: Bacterial small subunit ribosomal RNA
Source: RNAcentral